UCAGUGUUUUUCUAUGGGGCUCUCUGUUGACAGGACAAUGCUCCACAGCAAAAAGGUUCAAAAACUACGCGUUCUCCCCAUCACAAAACCCUAGCUACCUCACUUUCUUCCUCUCGUUCUCAACCCACGCACACUCUCUCUCUCUCUCUCUCUCUCCGCCUUUCUGAAUCCGUACUCGCUCUCUGCCGUUUAGAUCGUUGUUCCAGUCAUGGACGACAGGGAGAGACCCGAUCCAGGAUCCAAGUACACCGCCGAUUCCAGCUGGGGACUCGGGCUAACGGAUUCCGACUCAGUCGACUACUUCAUCGACUGCAGAGAGAGCACCAUACUCGGCGAAUUCGGUUGGAAUCUGCACUUCGAUGAGGAGAGCCGGUUCGCUGACCUUGACCGGAUUGCAGUCGGCAGCAGAUCCGAUUCGGCGGCAAAUCUCCAUAGCAGCUUGUCGGAGAGUACUUGUGGCGAUGGACCCUUGCUGCGGAGUUCUAGUAAUGUCCCCUCUGAUCCGAGCGGGUCUUGUUCUACCCCAGUUGCUGCCCUUGCUGACGUGUCUACCUCAAAUCCUUCGGUAUCUUCCAGCUCCAGCGAGGAUCCGCCCGAGAAAUCGACGGGCUCCGGCGGGAAACCGCCCGAGAUACCGAAUAAAGUCAGGAAGAAGGGACAAAAGCGAGUCCGGCAACCUCGUUUUGCAUUUAUGACUAAGAGUGAGGUGGAUCACUUAGAGGAUGGCUACCGAUGGCGGAAAUACGGACAAAAGGCUGUUAAAAAUAGUCCAUUCCCUAGGAGCUACUAUCGCUGCACAAAUAGCAAAUGCAGUGUGAAGAAAAGGGUGGAACGCUCCUCUGAAGAUCCAACAAUCGUAAUAACUACAUACGAAGGCCAACACUGUCAUCAUACCGCCGGAUUCCCUCGCAGUGGUAUCAUUACCCAUGAGGCUAGCUAUGCCGGAAGGCUAAUGCCCGCAAUUUCCCAAUUUUGUUAUCCCGGAAUUCAAUUGUCUCGGGACGCUCCACCUACUCAAAACUUGUCACGGUUGCACAGAUUAGCUGGUGAAGCAGGAGAACCCCAUAUGCACUCGGAAACUUUCCCGCAGUUUCCAAUUGAUGAGGGGUUGCUAGGAGAUAUUGUGCCACCUGGGAUGCGAAACAUUUGACAAACAAAUUAUGAGGAAAAACACAUGCACUUGGAUUGCUCGGCCAUCAAAUACUAGACUGACUUGGAUCGAGCACACUUGCCUAGCUUCAAGCGUGCUGUACAGAUAUAUAACCUCUAGGGCGCAUGCAGUAUUGAUAGUUACCUAGUAAUCUACUAGUUUGGUUCUGUUGCUGCUGGGUAGAGAUGAUGAGGUAAUUAUUUAACCUUUCUUGACUGAUAUAAUAAUUUUAGCCUACGAGUGUGUUUGGACCCACUGCGAUUGUUCCAAAUUCUUACCAGGCCUUCCACGGUUACAAAACCACCAUGAAAUACGUUUGAAAUGUGUCUCGAGUGAACGGAUAUAUGUACAAUCAUGUGCAUAAGACCAUGGAUUUCAACCCAUUUACGGAUAUGGUAGGCCAAUGUCUUCUUUUGUGAUUUAUACUGCGUACUUGUUUCCAUGGUGGCGUCAUUACCAAUGCACAUAUAGUUCUCAUUGGCUGUGAACUUAUCCGCUCUAGUGAUAUAGCUUGGGUACUAACUUAUCUUUAGCUUUCCCCAUUUAAAUGAGACCUAGCGAUCAACUUCUCCUCAAAAAGCUUUUCUACACAGUGAUUUGAUAGGCAGUGAAAGAGACUUGGAAGAACCGCCAGAAUGAUCUCUCUCAUCACCGUUUUAAGAGGUUGAUCCCCUUCAUAACAAAAUUAUGUGUCGUACCAACCUCUAUUAUUUUCCUAAUUUCAAUUAAUUUAGGUAGUUAUAUAUAAUUAAUUAUUUUAAAAGUCCCAUCCUGAGUUUAAAAAAUGGAACAGAUUAGGUUCGUCUAGGCUGUGUGCAUAUCUAUGAGAAUCAUUGGUUUCACAUAUUGGUGCCUUACCCUUCAUUUAUUUUGAGUGGACAAUUUGCCUUUCCAAAGCUUCAGUCUUUAUCAAAUGGAUUCCUGGAUUUCUAUGGUUCGUGUUGCUUAAUAUGACUUCUACAAUCAUAUGGAAAAUUUUAAAAUAAAUAAUUAGUACCGUAGCAGAAGAAUUCGGUGGUUUAUAAUUUAAUAAUUAGUAUUAAAUUCAAUCACUUGAAUAUUUAUUAAAUCUAAAAAUGGAAAGAACACUGAGAAUUAGAAAUUCCGAACUAAUGGAGUCCAUUCAUGUGUUCACUUUUGAACCGUAAGAAAGAAACAAUUAGGGAUUUCAGGGAACCCAAGUGACUACUUUUUGAUAGAGCUUUCACAUUACACUAGGAAACACUACUUUGAUAUUGGUGAAGUAACUAUUCAUAUUGCCCUCAGGUGCACUCAGAAGAUUUGGUAAUUCCAAGAAAAGGGAGGAAAAUCAUUGAGUCCAUAUAUACUUUAGACAAUAGAGCAAUAGCUGUGCCGAUCCAUAUAUGUGAAGAGGCGCUAAUGAACUUUACCACUCCACUAUUUGUCGGUUCUAGGAUUCUGGGUUUUAUUCUUUGUUAGAACAAAUACAGCCAAUAUUUUGUCUAAAAAAAAAGAGAAGAAAACAAAACAAAAAUCGAAAAACAAACCAGCAAGUGCAUGAAUUGUGUGCCACCCCACGAGAAAGAAUCUCUAAAAAGUAAGUCUUAUAUAUAGAACAUAACGCAGCCCGCCCUGGAAUCAAAUCACAUAUAUCUCUGAUGUGCAAUCCAACUGUCUAUAUGCCUUUGGCUUUUGGUUUAGGUGAUGCAGUCGAUUAUCAGAUUGAAGCGAAAGCACUUGUUACUUAAUUUAAAGGGCCGUACAUCUGAUGAUCAGAAGGCAGAGAGCGAUUUUCAAGCCGGAAAUGCCAUCUCCUUGAUAUUUACUGCAACUCAUGAUCAUAUUCAUAUAUAUGUAUACCAGGUACUGCUCACAUGAGCAUACUCCCCCAUGAAUUGCUAUAUACACUCUCCAGCUACAUUAUAUACACAUAUGUAAUAUUCAUUACUUACCCGAAUACUGGACAUAUAGCUUUCUUUCUAAGCAUAGUAUUAUUUAAGUGUUAUAGUAAAUAUUUUAGGCUUAAUUUAGCGUAUUGAAAAUUAGGUUCAUGUAUGAUGCAUGUAAAUAACCAUUAUUUUUUAAUC
This is a non-coding RNA of Carica papaya (papaya), 3198 nucleotides long. Lineage: Eukaryota; Viridiplantae; Streptophyta; Magnoliopsida; Brassicales; Caricaceae. The record is from RefSeq and is a predicted model, not a curated record.